This 468-nucleotide ribosomal RNA is filed under the name uncultured bacterium. RNAcentral's name for it is "partial 16S ribosomal RNA". It matches the Rfam family "Bacterial small subunit ribosomal RNA", at positions 28 to 507 of the family's 1533-position model. The record is from RNAcentral.
GACGAACGCUGGCGGCGUGCUUAACACAUGCAAGUCGAACGGAAAGGCCCUGCUUUUGUGGGGUGCUCGAGUGGCGAACGGGUGAGUAACACGUGAGUAACCUGCCCUUGACUUUGGGAUAACUUCAGGAAACUGGGGCUAAUACCGGAUAGGAGCUCCUGCUGCAUGGUGGGGGUUGGAAAGUUUCGGCGGUUGGGGAUGGACUCGCGGCUUAUCAGCUUGUUGGUGGGGUAGUGGCUUACCAAGGCUUUGACGGGUAGCCGGCCUGAGAGGGUGACCGGCCACAUUGGGACUGAGAUACGGCCCAGACGCCUACGGGAGGCAGCAGUGGGGAAUAUUGCACAAUGGGCGGAAGCCUGAUGCAGCAACGCCGCGUGCGGGAAGACGGCCUUCGGGUUGUAAACCGCUUUCGCCUGUGACGAAGCGUGAGUGACGGUAAUGGGUAAAGAAGCACCGGCUAACUACGUG